GCAGCGCGGUAAUACGUAGGUGGCAAGCGUUGUCCGGAAUUAUUGGGCGUAAAGCGCGCGCAGGCGGCUUCUUAAGUCCAUCUUAAAAAGUGCGGGGCUUAACCCCGUGAUGGGAUGGAAACUGAGAGGCUGGAGUAUCGGAGAGGAAAGUGGAAUUCCUAGUGUAGCGGUGAAAUGCGUAGAGAUUAGGAAGAACACCGGUGGCGAAGGCGACUUUCUGGACGACAACUGACGCUGAGGCGCGAAAGCGUGGGGAGCAA
RNAcentral lists this ribosomal RNA (260 nucleotides) under uncultured bacterium. RNAcentral's name for it is "partial 16S ribosomal RNA". It matches the Rfam family "Bacterial small subunit ribosomal RNA", at positions 511 to 771 of the family's 1533-position model. The record is from RNAcentral.